This 490-nucleotide ribosomal RNA is filed under the name uncultured bacterium. Its description in RNAcentral is "partial 16S ribosomal RNA". It matches the Rfam family "Bacterial small subunit ribosomal RNA", at positions 29 to 506 of the family's 1533-position model. The record is from RNAcentral.
GUGAACGCUGGCGGUAGGCCUAACACAUGCACGUCGAACGGCAGCACAGUAAGAGCUUGCUCUUACGGGUGGCGAGUGGCGGACGGGUGAGGAAUACAUCGGAAUCUACUUUUUCGUGGGGGAUAACGUAGGGAAACUUACGCUAAUACCGCAUACGACCUACGGGUGAAAGCAGGGGAUCUUCGGACCUUGCGCGAUUGAAUGAGCCGAUGUCGGAUUAGCUAGUUGGCGGGGUAAAGGCCCACCAAGGCGACGAUCCGUAGCUGGUCUGAGAGGAUGAUCGGCCAAACUGGAACUGAGAACCGGUCCAAACUCCUACGGGAGGCAGCAGUGGGGAAUAUUGGAAAAUGGGCGGAAGCCUGAUCCAGCCAUACCGCGUGGGUGAAGAAGGCCUUCGGGUUGUAAAGCCCUUUUGUUGGGAAAAAAAAGCAGCAGGUUAAAACCCCGCUGUUCUGAGGGUACCAAAAGAAUAAGCCCCGGCUAACUUCGG